RNAcentral lists this ribosomal RNA (695 nucleotides) under bacterium. RNAcentral's name for it is "bacterial SSU rRNA". It matches the Rfam family "Bacterial small subunit ribosomal RNA", at positions 35 to 744 of the family's 1533-position model. The record is from RNAcentral.
GNNNNNGGCGGCNNCUUACCAUGCAGUCGAACGAUGAAGCCCAGCUUGCUGGGUGGAUUAGUGGCGAACGGGUGAGUAACACGUGAGUAACCUGCCCUUAACUCUGGGAUAAGCCUGGGAAACUGGGUCUAAUACCGGAUAGGAGCGUCCACCGCAUGGUGGGUGUUGGAAAGAUUUAUCGGUUUUGGAUGGACUCGCGGCCUAUCAGCUUGUUGGUGAGGUAAUGGCUCACCAAGGCGACGACGGGUAGCCGGCCUGAGAGGGUGACCGGCCACACUGGGACUGAGACACGGCCCAGACUCCUACGGGAGGCAGCAGUGGGGAAUAUUGCACAAUGGGCGAAAGCCUGAUGCAGCGACGCCGCGUGAGGGAUGACGGCCUUCGGGUUGUAAACCUCUUUCAGUAGGGAAGAAGCGAAAGUGACGGUACCUGCAGAAGAAGCACCGGCUAACUACGUGCCAGCAGCCGCGGUAAUACGUAGGGUGCGAGCGUUAUCCGGAAUUAUUGGGCGUAAAGAGCUCGUAGGCGGUUUGUCGCGUCUGUCGUGAAAGUCCGGGGCUUAACCCCGGAUCUGCGGUGGGUACGGGCAGACUAGAGUGCAGUAGGGGAGACUGGAAUUCCUGGUGUAGCGGUGGAAUGCGCAGAUAUUAGGAGGAACACCGAUGGCGAAGGCAGGUCUCUGGGCUGUAACUGAC